This 603-nucleotide ribosomal RNA is filed under the name Phrosia albilabris. Its description in RNAcentral is "partial 12S ribosomal RNA". The record is from RNAcentral. Lineage: Eukaryota; Metazoa; Arthropoda; Insecta; Diptera; Scathophagidae.
UUUUUUUUACAAUACUAUUUCACUAUAAUUAAAAUUAUUUUUUCUUUAUUAAAUACUAAAACAAAUCCUUAUAUAAUUAUUUUUAAUAAUUUAAAUUAAAAAAUAUAUAAAUUAAUAAAUAAAAUAUAAUCAAUUUAUAUUGAUUUGCACAAAAAUCUUUUCAAUGUAAAUGAAAUACUUUACUUAAUAAGCUUUAAAUUGCAUUCUAGAUACACUUUCCAGUACAUCUACUAUGUUACGACUUAUCUUACCUUAAUAAUAAGAGUGACGGGCGAUGUGUACAUAUUUUAGAGCUAAAAUCAAAUUAUUAGUCUUUAUAAUUUUACUAUCAAAUCCACCUUCAAUAAAUAUUUCAAAUUUAUUUUCGUAUAAAUAAUUUUAUUGUAACCCAUAUCUACUUAAAUAUAAGCUACACCUUGAUCUGAUAUAUUUUCUAUUUUAAAAUCAUGAAAAUUAACUUUCUUAUAAAAUAUUCUAAUAACAACGGUAUAUAAACUGAUAACAAAUUUAAGUAAGGUCCAUCGUGGAUUAUCGAUUAUAGAACAGGUUCCUCUGAAUAGACUAAAAUACCGCCAAAUUUUUUAAGUUUCAAGAACAUAGCUA